RNAcentral lists this transfer RNA (73 nucleotides) under uncultured Pseudomonadota bacterium. RNAcentral's name for it is "uncultured proteobacterium tRNA-Ala". It matches the Rfam family "tRNA". From Rfam's summary of the family: Transfer RNA (tRNA) molecules are approximately 80 nucleotides in length. Their secondary structure includes four short double-helical elements and three loops (D, anti-codon, and T loops). The record is from RNAcentral. Lineage: Bacteria; Pseudomonadati; Pseudomonadota.
GGGGCUGUAGCUCAGCUGGGAGAGCGCCUGCUUUGCACGCAGGAGGUCAGCGGUUCGAUCCCGCUUAGCUCCA